Molecule: ribosomal RNA, 497 nt
Filed under: uncultured bacterium
Lineage: Bacteria
Description: partial 16S ribosomal RNA
Rfam family: Bacterial small subunit ribosomal RNA
Source: RNAcentral
GACGAACGCUGGCGGCGUGCCUAAUACAUGCAAGUUGAGCGCUGAAGGUUGGUACUUGUACCAACUGGAUGAGCAGCGAACGGGUGAGUAACGCGUGGGGAAUCUGCCUUUGAGCGGGGGACAACAUUUGGAAACGAAUGCUAAUACCACAUAAAAACUUUAAACACAAGUUUUAAGUUUGAAAGAUGCAAUUGCAUCACUCAAAGAUGAUCCCGCGUUGUAUUAGCUAGUUGGUGAGGUAAAGGCUCACCAAGGCGAUGAUACGUAGCCGACCUGAGAGGGUGAUCGGCCACAUUGGGACUGAGACACGGCCCAAACUCCUACGGGAGGCAGCAGUAGGGAAUCUUCGGCAAUGGACGAAAGUCUGACCGAGCAACGCCGCGUGAGUGAAGAAGGUUUUCGGAUCGUAAAACUCUGUUGGUAGAGAAGAACGUUGGUGAGAGUGGAAAGCUCAUCAAGUGACGGUAACUACCCAGAAAGGGACGGCUAACUACGUG